GACGAACGCUGGCGGCGUGCUUAACACAUGCAAGUCGAACGAUGAAGCUCUAGCUUGCUGGGGUGGAUUAGUGGCGAACGGGUGAGUAACACGUGAGUAACCUGCCCUUUACUUCGGGAUAAGCUUGGGAAACUGGGUCUAAUACCGGAUAUUCUGCGUGAUCGGAUGGUUGUGUAGGAAAGAUUUUUUGGUAAGGGAUGGGCUCGCGGCCUAUCAGUUUGUUGGUGGGGUGAUGGCCUACCAAGACGACGACGGGUAGCCGGCCUGAGAGGGCGACCGGCCACACUGGGACUGAGACACGGCCCAGACUCCUACGGGAGGCAGCAGUGGGGAAUAUUGCACAAUGGGGGAAACCCUGAUGCAGCGACGCCGCGUGGGGGAUGACGGCCUUCGGGUUUGUAACCUCUUUCAGUAGGGAAGAAGCGAAAGUGACGGUACCUGCAGAAGAAGUACCGGCUAACUACGUGCCAGCAGGCGCGGUAAUACGUAGGGUACUAGCGUUGUCCCGGAAUAUUGGGCGUAAGAGCUCGUAGGUGGUUUGUCGCGUCUGCUGUGGAAACGUGCCGCUUAACGGUGCGCGUGCAGUGGGUACGGGCGGACUAGAGUGCAGUAGGGGAGUCUGGAAUUCCUGGUGUAGCGGUGAAAUGCGCAGAUAUCAGGAGGAGCACCGGUGGCGAAGGCGGGACUCUGGGCUGUUACUGACGCUGAGGAGCGAAAGCAUGGGGAGCGAACAGGAUUAGAUACCCUGGUAGUCCAUGCCGUAAACGUUGGGCACUAGGUGUGGGGUCCAUUCCACGGAUUCUGCGCCGUAGCUAACGCAUUAAGUGCCCCGCCUGGGGAGUACGGCCGCAAGGCUAAAACUCAAAGGAAUUGACGGGGGCCCGCACAAGCGGCGGAGCAUGCGGAUUAAUUCGAUGCAACGCGAAGAACCUUACCAAGGCUUGACAUGCACUAGACCAUCGCAGAGAUGUGGUUUUCUUUUUGACUGGUGUACAGGUGGUGCAUGGUUGUCGUCAGCUCGUGUCGUGAGAUGUUGGGUUAAGUCCCGCAACGAGCGCAACCCUCGUUCUAUGUUGCCAGCACGUGAUGGUGGGAACUCAUGGGAGACUGCCGGGGUCAACUCGGAGGAAGGUGGGGAUGACGUCAAAUCAUCAUGCCCUUUAUGUCUUGGGCUUCACGCAUGCUACAAUGGCCGGUACAGAGGGUGGCGAUACCGUGAGGUGGAGCGAAUCUCUUAAAGCCGGUCUCAGUUCGGAUCGUAGUCUGCAACUCGACUACGUGAAGUCGGAGUCGCUAGUAAUCGCAGAUCAGCAAUGCUGCGGUGAAUACGUUCCCGGGCCU
This 1341-nucleotide ribosomal RNA is filed under the name uncultured bacterium. Its description in RNAcentral is "bacterial SSU rRNA". It matches the Rfam family "Bacterial small subunit ribosomal RNA", at positions 28 to 1381 of the family's 1533-position model. The record is from RNAcentral.